RNAcentral lists this ribosomal RNA (440 nucleotides) under uncultured bacterium. RNAcentral's name for it is "partial 16S ribosomal RNA". It matches the Rfam family "Bacterial small subunit ribosomal RNA", at positions 338 to 795 of the family's 1533-position model. The record is from RNAcentral.
CCUACGGGUGGCUGCAGUAAGGAAUAUUGCUCAAUGGGGGAAACUCUGAAGCAGCAACGCCGCGUGGAGGAUGACUGUUUUAUGAUUGGAAACUCCUUUUGUUAGGGGAGUUUAUGACUGUAUCUAACGAAUAAGGACCGUCUAACUCCGUGCCAGCAGCCGCGGUAAUACGGAGGGUGCAAGCGUUACUCGGAAUCACUGGGCGUAAAGAGUGCGUAGGCGGGGUAAUAAGUCAGAUGUGAAAUCCUGUAGCUUAACUACAGAAUUGCAUUUGAAACUGUCAGUCUGGAGUGUGGGAGAGGUAGGCGGAAUUCGUGGUGUAGGGGUAAAAUCCGUAGAGAUCAAGAAGAAUACUCAUUGCGAAGGCGACCUGCUGGAACAUUACUGACGCUGAGGCACGAAAGUGUGGGGAGCAAACAGGAUUAGAUACCCGAGUAGUC